CUGAUACCCAGGGAACUGGUUCGAGCUUUUCCCCAGCCCCCUUCCCUUCUCGCCUGUUGUUUUUUUUUUUAAUCUUCCUGGUCCCUUCUGACAAGGUGUCCCGGGAUCUGCUGCUCGAGGACACUUUGCACCGUGCCGCAAAGGGGAAUGUUCAAAGCUGGAUGUCACAAUACCUUUCAAGUUAAUCAAAACCAGCUUUUGCAAUUAGCUCUCCGCAUCAGACAGGGACGGGACACCCUUUAGAAACAGGUUCUGAUAAUAAAACCAUUAGGCGGGUUCUGUUUCCAGUAACGAAGAUGGCCUGCAACUAAUUCCCCUCCUAACAGAAACAAGACUGGACGAGCCCUGGCACAGGCUGCCCGGCGAGGCUGCGGAGCUUCCGUCCCCGGAGGUACUCACAGCCGCCUGGCCGCGGUGCUGGGCAGCCGGCUCUGGUUUUAUCCCCUGGAGCAGCGAAGUUGGACGCAGCGACCCCAGAGGUGCCAGCCCCGGCGACUCUGGCGUUCUGCAGCUUCCAUUUGGACAUACGUGCAUU
This is a long non-coding RNA of Cygnus olor (mute swan), 535 nucleotides long. RefSeq lists it as uncharacterized. Lineage: Eukaryota; Metazoa; Chordata; Aves; Anseriformes; Anatidae. The transcript has 3 exons. The record is from RefSeq and is a predicted model, not a curated record.